Molecule: ribosomal RNA, 430 nt
Filed under: unidentified planctomycete
Lineage: Bacteria; Pseudomonadati; Planctomycetota; Planctomycetia; Planctomycetales
Description: bacterial SSU rRNA
Rfam family: Bacterial small subunit ribosomal RNA
Source: RNAcentral
UCGGGUUAAGUCCCAUAACGAGCGAAACCCCUGUCUCCAGUUGCCAGCGAGUCAUGUCGGGGACUCUGGAGAGACUGCCGGUGUUAAACCGGAGGAAGGUGGGGAUGACGUCAAGUCCUCAUGGCCCUUAUGCCCAGGGCUGCACACGUGCUACAAUGGCGUGCACAAAGGGAUGCCAACCCGCGAGGGCGCGCAGAUCCCAAAAAACACGCCCCAGUUCAGAUCGGAGGCUGCAACUCGCCUCCGUGAAGUUGGAAUCGCUAGUAAUCGCGGGUCAGCAACACCGCGGUGAAUGUGUUCCUGAGCCUUGUACACACCGCCCGUCAAGCCACGAAAGAUCGGGGGGGGCCAAGUCGCCGCGCCAACUCGCAAGAGAGGCAAGCGCCUAACCCUCAACGGUCGAUUGGGACUAAGUCGUAACAAGGUACCA